UGUAAAUAUAUACUUUUAUUUGAAAAUUGAUACAAUCUCAAAUAAACAUACUUGCAUACAGAUGUGCUAGAGUUUGUCUUGGAAUAGGAAGAGGUUGUUCGUAGCAGCAACGGCUACUACAUUUUCAGAUGGAUGCCAUGCGAGAAAAAACUUCUAUUGGUUGGAUCUUCCUGUUCUUCAAAGAGUUUACUGUGUUGGUCGCAAAGUGCAGCAGAUCUCAUGUCACAAAGUCUAAUUGUUCCUUUGCUACUACUAUAUACCAGAACGUUACAUUCUGCUGGAUGAAACUCUGCAGCAGUUAUAACUUCUGUUAAUUCCUCCAUAUUAGUUGGCUUAAUAUCUACUAUAUCUGUAUACAAUGGUGCCAAAGAUUAAUUCUAAGGUCAUCAGCACUGAGGUAUGUUUCCUGGUCACUGUUGACGCUUAUACUGUUUAUAUGAUAAGUGUGCGCAUUGGCAAAUAUUCUUCUCGGCGACGCUUCCACCAUCAACUCCAUUGGUUUUAUAGAUGGUACCUGAGCAAUUAAAUGGCCAGUGAUUUCAGGUAAUCGAAUUCAGGUUCAUGACUCUGGAAGGUGCUAUAUACAUUGUAUUCACCCCUCCGUGGUAUACUGUUUUUACUCUACACAAAUGAUAACAUUUUCUUAUUAUUGCACGAUAUCUGAUUCAAAAUAAAAAAACCUAUUCAAAAUGAUUGUUCUUUACAUUGUGCUCGAUGAUUAUCUUUAGAAAGUUUCUAAAGAUAGAGAAAUGUAGCAUGCUGUAUACAUAAGGUUGGCAAUAAUCCAAUAGUAAGGUAUAUAAUCAUUUUUAUUUAAAGGACGCAUUUCUCUUGUUUAAAAGUGCAAAGACUAUCAUGCUAAUGUAUAUUCUAUGUCUGUAUGCAUGUGCUGAUAAUUAAUUUUUAUUGAUUUAAUUUAUCAAUAAAAAUAUUAGUUAUCUC
Long non-coding RNA from Hylaeus anthracinus, 942 nucleotides. RefSeq lists it as uncharacterized. The record is from RefSeq and is a predicted model, not a curated record. Lineage: Eukaryota; Metazoa; Arthropoda; Insecta; Hymenoptera; Colletidae. The transcript has 4 exons.